GACGAACGCUGGCGGCGUGCUUAACACAUGCAAGUCGAACGGAAAGGCCCUGCUUUUGUGGGGUGCUCGAGUGGCGAACGCGUGAGUAACACGUGAGUAACCUGCCCUUGACUUUGGGAUAACUUCAGGAAACUGGGGCUAAUACCCGAUAGGAGCUCCUGCUGCAUGGUGGGGGUUGGAAAGUUUCGGCGGUUGGGGAUGGACUCGCGGCUUAUCAGCUUGUUGGUGGGGUAGUGGCUUACCAAGGCUUUGACGGGUAGCCGGCCUGAGAGGUGGACCGGCCACAUUGGGACUGAGGUACGGCCCAGACUCCUACGGGAGGCAGCAGUGGGGAAUAUUGCACAAUGGGCUGAAGCCUGAUGCAGCAACGCCGCGUGCGGGAUGACGGCCUUCGGGUUGUAAACCGCUUUCGCCGGUGACGAAGCGUGAGUGACGGUAAUGGGUAAAGAAGCACCGGCUAACUACGUG
RNAcentral lists this ribosomal RNA (468 nucleotides) under uncultured bacterium. RNAcentral describes it as "partial 16S ribosomal RNA". It matches the Rfam family "Bacterial small subunit ribosomal RNA", at positions 28 to 507 of the family's 1533-position model. The record is from RNAcentral.